Molecule: ribosomal RNA, 700 nt
Filed under: uncultured bacterium
Lineage: Bacteria
Description: bacterial SSU rRNA
Rfam family: Bacterial small subunit ribosomal RNA
Source: RNAcentral
CAGUCGAACGGUAGCACAGAGAGCUUGCUCUCGGGUGACGAGUGGCCGACGGGUGAGUAAUGUCUGGGAAACUGCCUGAUGGAGGGGGAUAACUACUGGAAACGGUAGCUAAUACCGCAUAACGUCUUCGGACCAAAGAGGGGGACCUUCGGGCCUCUUGCCAUCGGAUGUGCCCAGAUGGGAUUAGCUAGUUGGUGGGGUAACGGCUCACCAAGGCGACGAUCCCUAGCUGGUCUGAGAGGAUGACCAGCCACACUGGAACUGAGACACGGUCCAGACUCCUACGGGAGGCAGCAGUGGGGAAUAUUGCACAAUGGGCGCAAGCCUGAUGCAGCCAUGCCGCGUGUAUGAAGAAGGCCUUCGGGUUGUAAAGUACUUUCAGCGGGGAGGAAGGGAGAAUGGUUAAUAACCAUUUUCAUUGACGUUACCCGCAGAAGAAGCACCGGCUAACUCCGUGCCAGCAGCCGCGGUAAUACGGAGGGUGCAAGCGUUAAUCGGAAUUACUGGGCGUAAAGCGCACGCAGGCGGUCUGUCAAGUCGGAUGUGAAAUCCCCGGGCUCAACCCGGGAACUGCAUUCGAAACUGGCAGACUGGAGUCUUGUAGAGGGGGGUAGAAUUCCAGGUGUAGCGGUGAAAUGCGUAGAGAUCUGGAGGAAUACCGGUGGCGAAAGCGGCCCCCUGGACAAAGACUGACGCUCAG